This 551-nucleotide ribosomal RNA is filed under the name Janthinobacterium sp. BJB412. RNAcentral describes it as "bacterial LSU rRNA". It matches the Rfam family "Bacterial large subunit ribosomal RNA", at positions 658 to 1209 of the family's 2925-position model. Lineage: Bacteria; Pseudomonadati; Pseudomonadota; Betaproteobacteria; Burkholderiales; Oxalobacteraceae. The record is from RNAcentral.
UAGGGAAGCCGUAGAGAAAUCGAGUCCGAAUAGGGCGUUCAGUCGCUGGGUGUAGACCCGAAACCAAGUGAUCUACUCAUGGCCAGGAUGAAGGUGCGGUAACACGCACUGGAGGUCCGAACCCACUAAUGUUGAAAAAUUAGGGGAUGAGCUGUGGGUAGGGGUGAAAGGCUAAACAAACUUGGAAAUAGCUGGUUCUCUCCGAAAACUAUUUAGGUAGUGCCUCAAGUAUCACCAUCGGGGGUAGAGCACUGUUAUGGCUAGGGGGUCAUCGCGACUUACCAAACCAUUGCAAACUCCGAAUACCGAUGAGUGCGAGCUUGGGAGACAGACGUCGGGUGCUAACGUCCGGCGUCAAGAGGGAAACAACCCAGACCGCCAGCUAAGGUCCCAAAGAUUGGCUAAGUGGAAAACGAAGUGGGAAGGCUAAAACAGUCAGGAUGUUGGCUUAGAAGCAGCCAUCAUUUAAAGAAAGCGUAAUAGCUCACUGAUCGAGUCGUCCUGCGCGGAAGAUGUAACGGGGCUAAGCCAGUCACCGAAGCUGCGGAUAU